CCUACGGGGGGCAGCAGUGGGGAAUAUUGCACAAUGGGGGAAACCCUGAUGCAGCGACGCCGCGUGAGUGAAGAAGUAUUUCGGUAUGUAAAGCUCUAUCAGCAGGGAAGAAAAUGACGGUACCUGAUUAAGAAGCCCCGGCUAACUACGUGCCAGCAGCCGCGGUAAUACGUAGGGGGCAAGCGUUAUCCGGAUUUACUGGGUGUAAAGGGAGCGUAGACGGCAGCACAAGUCUGGAGGGAAAUGCCGGGGCUUAACCCCGGAACUGCUUUGGAAACUGUGCAGCUAGAGUGCAGGAGAGGUAAGUGGAAUGCGUGGUGUAGCGGUGAAAUGCGUAGUUAUUAGGAGGAACACCAGUGGCGAAGGCGGCGUACUGGAGUGUAACUGACGUUGAGGCUCGAAAGCGUGGGGAGCGAACAGGAUUAGAUACCCGAGUAGUC
RNAcentral lists this ribosomal RNA (440 nucleotides) under uncultured bacterium. RNAcentral's name for it is "partial 16S ribosomal RNA". It matches the Rfam family "Bacterial small subunit ribosomal RNA", at positions 338 to 795 of the family's 1533-position model. The record is from RNAcentral.